This 396-nucleotide ribosomal RNA is filed under the name uncultured bacterium. RNAcentral's name for it is "bacterial SSU rRNA". It matches the Rfam family "Bacterial small subunit ribosomal RNA", at positions 28 to 429 of the family's 1533-position model. The record is from RNAcentral.
GACGAACGCUGGCGGCGUGCUUAACACAUGCAAGUCGAGCGGUAAGGCCCUUUCGGGGGUACACGAGCGGCGAACGGGUGAGUAACACGUGGGUGACCUGCCCUCAGCUCUGGGAUAAGCCUGGGAAACCGGGUCUAAUACUGGAUAUGACUCCAUGACGCAUGUUGUGGGGUGGAAAGCCUUGUGCGGCUGAGGAUGGGCCCGCGGCCUAUCAGCUUGUUGGUGGGGUGAUGGCCUACCAAGGCGACGACGGGUAGCCGGCCUGAGAGGGCGACCGGCCACACUGGGACUGAGACACGGCCCAGACUCCUACGGGAGGCAGCAGUGGGGAACCUUGCGCAAUGGGCGAAAGCCUGACGCAGCGACGCCGCGUGAGGGAUGACGGCCUGGUGUAAC